UACGAAGGGGGCAAGCGUUGUUCGGAAUUACUGGGCGUAAAGGGCGCGUAGGCGGCUUAUCAAGUCAGGCGUGAAAUUCCCGGGCUCAACCUGGGGGCUGCGCUUGAUACUGCUGAGCUUGAAUGCGGGAGAGGAUGGUGGAAUUCCCAGUGUAGAGGUGAAAUUCGUAGAUAUUGGGAAGAACACCGGUGGCGAAGGCGGCCAUCUGGCCCGUGAUUGACGCUGAGGCGCGAAAGCGUGUGGAGCAAACAGG
This 253-nucleotide ribosomal RNA is filed under the name uncultured bacterium. RNAcentral describes it as "partial 16S ribosomal RNA". It matches the Rfam family "Bacterial small subunit ribosomal RNA", at positions 524 to 776 of the family's 1533-position model. The record is from RNAcentral.